RNAcentral lists this ribosomal RNA (482 nucleotides) under uncultured bacterium. Its description in RNAcentral is "bacterial SSU rRNA". It matches the Rfam family "Bacterial small subunit ribosomal RNA", at positions 29 to 507 of the family's 1533-position model. The record is from RNAcentral.
AUUAAACGCUGGCGGCAUGCCUUACACAUGCAAGUCGAACGGCAGCACGGGGCAACCUGGUGGCGAGUGGCGAACGGGUGAGUAAAGCAUCGGAACGUGCCCUGGAGUGGGGGAUAACGUAGCGAAAGUUACGCUAAUACCGCAUAUUCUGUGAGCAGGAAAGCAGGGGAUCGCAAGACCUUGCGCUCUGGGAGCGGCCGAUGUCGGAUUAGCUAGUUGGUGGGGUAAAGGCCUACCAAGGCGACGAUCCGUAGCGGGUCUGAGAGGAUGAUCCGCCACACUGGGACUGAGACACGGCCCAGACUCCUACGGGAGGCAGCAGUGGGGAAUUUUGGACAAUGGGCGCAAGCCUGAUCCAGCCAUGCCGCGUGAGUGAAGAAGGCCUUCGGGUCGUAAAGCUCUUUCGGCCGGGAAGAAAUCGCAUGGGUCAAUACCCUGUGUGGAUGACGGUACCGGAAUAAGAAGCACCGGCUAACUACGUG